CAGACACAUAUAUAGUCUCUGGCGUGUCAGCUGUAAUUAGCGAAGUGACUGAGUAAUAGCUUGGAAUACGCAGAAACAGCGCUGGCGCAAUCAAAAGUGUCAGAUAAUUUAAGGUGGAACGGAAGGUCGCUGUUGAUACUGUCAUUAUGUUCAGCGGGGAUUAUACUUAAGUACUGUUGCUGGGCGUCAUGGUGGCAAAGACGAAAAAGGCAAAGUGUGCACAUUACACGGGAGUGAUGAGCAUUAAAAUUUGCGAACAAAAUGCUAUGCAGAUAAGGACAAAAUAAGGCGCUCUCAUAAACGAGCCGCGCUUUCUUGAAAAUUGGAUAAGCGCCGCUGAAUGAUUGUCAUACAUCAGUUUGAGAGUAAAUCAAUGACUGUUGCACGUCAAAAGACGUGAAAAACGGAACAAUUUCUGUGGAGUAGCACCAUCAUGAUAUAAAUGUUCCAUAACGCUCUAACAUUUUUCAGCUUUCUGCUUAACGUACUGCACUGUUUACAACAUGAUAAGUAGUGCUGACAGCAUGUAAACCACAUCCUGAUGCACCUCACCUCAGAGUUGUUUGUGGAAGUAUAAGGACAAACACAUGAAUCCCUAAUAUUUCCAGAUCUUCUAAGGGUAAUUCUCUGCCAUAAAAGGCUUUGAAAGGAGUUUUACCUCUCACAGGACUUGGACCAGGUUCUUAUGGGUGGUGAAUGUAUGGUCGCUAAGAAGUGACAUAGGAGCCAUUCUCAUGCUGCCAUAGUAGCAGGUGUACAUGACUCAUAGGCUAAGACACAAGUGGUGGCUUCUUUUACGGUCUCUGGCUCCAUUACUGCGGGCUGUAUAGCAACGAAUGUUAUCGUGCAUUAACUUGUGACGUUACAAGAGCUGAGUGGGGGCAUGCUGCUGCCUGAAAUGAAAUCUCAUAAGAGUAAGCCUGUUGCUCCAGCCCGGAGAUGAGGAGUUACUAGACACAGUCUACAUGUGAAUAUGGAAAGUCUAUAUCUGAGCAUCACAUAAUCACAGAGUUAUAAAAGUUAAAUAUAAAAGAUUGUACUACAACAUCUUACUCAUGAAGAACUAAUAUAGGUAAAGGAAAGGUUUUUACCCAUAUUAAGAUGGAGCACACACUCAAAAACAUUGAAAGAAGUAUAUUUUCUUGUGAUAAGUAUGUUUAAGUGUCUACUUCUGAAUUAAUGGUGAAAAACAGUCACUUUGAAUUUCAGCUGCAUGUAGAUCCUUACUGGGAGAUUUUGAAGUGUUUAUGAGGCAGUUAAUAGUCUGUGGCGGUUCAUCCUGAGACACAGCAGAGUUAUAAACCAUAUAAAGCUAUUUCUCACAGCUACGAUGGCGCAGCUGUAGUGAGUGUUCAAUGCCCAGGUGUAGAGACUCUUCUGCAAGAGGCUUUUAAACAUUCUAGUUUCAUUCAUUGUUGUGUACAUAAGUUGAACCUGAUAUUAGCCCAAGCAGUGAGUCAGAUUACGGACAAUAGAAUUUUUUUGCUUGCUUUAGUGAGAAUCUCUGUUUUUCCAUAGUUCCUAAUAAAUAGAAAUGUUAAUUGACAUAGCAAACAGCCCUCCAUGUUUCCAACAUGAAAAGGAAUUUUAAAUCAAGAACUAUGGCCCUUGUUGCACAAACCGCACUGUGCUGCUGAGUUUUCAUAAUGUCAUACUUCACAUGACUAGGUUGAUAUGGUAAAAUUUAAAGACUGAUUUGAAUAAUUUUUCCACCCACAUGCCAGUUGCCUAGAAGGUAUCAGUUUUCUUCUAGGAACAAUUUACUGUGUCACUUCAGUACAGAAAUUCUCAGGCUCUAUAGUGUUCACAGUAUAAAAUUUAUUUCUAUGCCACCAAAUGCAACAAAUCUUUGUCAGCAUCUAGAUGUUUACUUCAGGCCUAUGAAAAUGGCACGGAGGAAGAUUUUAAACAGGUACAGGACUAUCAGUGGGCUACCUUGAUUAUAAAUAAAAAAGAAAAAAGAUGUUCCUCAUUUGUCAGCUGAGUCUUGAAAAUUAUGGAUGGUGAUCCUCCAAAAAUGUGGGUGAAAGGUGCAGUCUUAUUGCUGGCUUUUCAGUGUAUGAUGUGAAGUCAUUUAACAUUUGUAACUAUAAACAUAUUUGUUUUUUUUUCAUUUUUAAUUUUGACUACUGUUUCUUCAAUAUAAUUAAAAUAAAAAAUGUAUAGUGAUUUGUUGUUUUAAUUUGUCAUACUCCACAUAAAUGUUUCAUCCAGUCUCAAAAAUGGCUGAACAACUUUUCUUGAGAUCUAAAAGAAUUGUUUUUGGUUGCAAAAUAAGACAAAAUACUUCUAUAUUGUUAGUCAGAUAUGGCACAUUGACUCGUAAUAUAUUUUGUUACCACUUUGUAACUGAACUUGAUGACCUGUGUCAGAAUAACAGUGUACUUCACUUGUAGAAAAGUUAUAACUUUGUUUGGAAUAAUUGUAAUUUAUUUUUGUAUUGUUUUAUACCUAUGUUUUACUUUAGGAAGUGCCUAAACUUGAAAUUGUUAGCAUAUUUUGUUCCUUUACACAUAUUGCAAUUUGCAUCUUUUAGCAUGUAUAAGUAGGCUACUGUUCUCAUGUAUAAUUAUGUCUCAUUCCACAUCCAUACAAUUCUCUUGUAUACUGGAUCUA
Molecule: long non-coding RNA, 2616 nt
Organism: Schistocerca americana (American grasshopper)
Lineage: Eukaryota; Metazoa; Arthropoda; Insecta; Orthoptera; Acrididae
Exons: 4
Source: RefSeq, a predicted model, not a curated record